GUGCUCGCUUUGGCAGCACAUAUACUAAAAUUAGAACGAUACAGAGAAGAUUAGCAUAGCUCCUGCGCAAGGAUGACAUGCAAGUUCUUGAAGUGUCUCAUAUUAAA
This is a small nuclear RNA of Choloepus hoffmanni (Hoffmann's two-fingered sloth), 107 nucleotides long. The record is from Ensembl. NCBI's taxonomy places the organism in Eukaryota, Metazoa, Chordata, Mammalia, Pilosa, Megalonychidae.